CUUCAGGCUGUGCGGGCAGCAUAGCCCAGGAGAGAGCAGACUCCGUACCUGCUGAGCUCAGCAGGCCAGGCCCACCCUCCGCCCUCCUUUUUGUCCUUCUGCUCCUCCUCUUCCUCCACCACCUCCUAGAUCAGGAUGGCUGCCCAGCCAUGCACCAUUUUGUGGGCCAGGCCAGCUGAAGCCAUGCUCCGAUUCUGCCUUCCCCAGGGACCCCAGCACUUCCUUGGCAGAGGAAGCCAUCCCACCCUCAGCCGAGAGAGGAGACCAGAGGUCCAUCUCACUAAACACCAGGAGCGACACACCCUCAGCUCAGAUUUGCUUGGAAGGUCCUGGAUGAACCCAGAAACUGGCUUUGAGCCCCAAUUUGCCCAGCUGACCCAUACCACCCCUCUUCACCUUAUACCAGACUCACUCUGAAUGGAUGGCUGCCCCCUCCAAAUCCUACCCCAGACCCCCGGCUGGCUCCAGAGACUCCCUGGAGUAACUGCCCACAGGGACCUAGUAUCUCCGGCCAAAUUUAGUUCUGCACCCUGUCCCCACAAGGCACCUGCUCACCAGCCUCCCAACCUCUCCCACCCAGUUCUUCUACCCU
This 592-nucleotide long non-coding RNA is filed under the name Fukomys damarensis (Damara mole-rat). Its description in RNAcentral is "lncRNA (ENSFDAG00000022417.1)". The record is from RNAcentral. Lineage: Eukaryota; Metazoa; Chordata; Mammalia; Rodentia; Bathyergidae.